RNAcentral lists this ribosomal RNA (253 nucleotides) under uncultured bacterium. RNAcentral's name for it is "partial 16S ribosomal RNA". It matches the Rfam family "Bacterial small subunit ribosomal RNA", at positions 524 to 776 of the family's 1533-position model. The record is from RNAcentral.
UACGUAGGGUGCAAGCGUUGUCCGGAAUUAUUGGGCGUAAAGGGCUCGUAGGCGGUCCAUCGCGUCGGGAGUGAAAAGCUGGGGCUUAACCCCAGUCCUGCUUCCGAUACGGGUGGACUAGAGGUAUGCAGGGGAGAACGGAAUUCCUGGUGUAGCGGUGAAAUGCGCAGACUAUCAGGAGGAACACCCGUGGCGAAGGCGGCUCUCUGGGACGGUACUGACGCUGAGACGCGAAAGCGUGGGAGCGAACAGG